Molecule: ribosomal RNA, 567 nt
Filed under: Escherichia coli
Lineage: Bacteria; Pseudomonadati; Pseudomonadota; Gammaproteobacteria; Enterobacterales; Enterobacteriaceae
Description: partial 23S ribosomal RNA
Rfam family: Bacterial large subunit ribosomal RNA
Source: RNAcentral
GAAGCGUCUGGAAAGGCGCGCGAUACAGGGUGACAGCCCCGUACACAAAAAUGCACAUGCUGUGAGCUCGAUGAGUAGGGCGGGACACGUGGUAUCCUGUCUGAAUAUGGGGGGACCAUCCUCCAAGGCUAAAUACUCCUGACUGACCGAUAGUGAACCAGUACCGUGAGGGAAAGGCGAAAAGAACCCCGGCGAGGGGAGUGAAAAAGAACCUGAAACCGUGUACGUACAAGCAGUGGGAGCACAGAGCAAUCUGUGUGACUGCGUACCUUUUGUAUAAUGGGUCAGCGACUUAUAUUCUGUAGCAAGGUUAACCGAAUAGGGGAGCCGAAGGGAAACCGAGUCUUAACUGGGCGUUAAGUUGCAGGGUAUAGACCCGAAACCCGGUGAUCUAGCCAUGGGCAGGUUGAAGGUUGGGUAACACUAACUGGAGGACCGAACCGACUAAUGUUGAAAAAUUAGCGGAUGACUUGUGGCUGGGGGUGAAAGGCCAAUCAAACCGGGAGAUAGCUGGUUCUCCCCGAAAGCUAUUUAGGUAGCGCCUCGUGAAUUCAUCUCCGGGGGUAG